Molecule: ribosomal RNA, 429 nt
Filed under: Pseudomonadota bacterium
Lineage: Bacteria; Pseudomonadati; Pseudomonadota
Description: Proteobacteria bacterium partial 16S ribosomal RNA
Rfam family: Bacterial small subunit ribosomal RNA
Source: RNAcentral
UGGGGAAUAUUGGACAAUGGGCGAAAGCCUGAUCCAGCCAUGCCGCGUGUGUGAAGAAGGUCUUCGGAUUGUAAAGCACUUUAAGUUGGGAGGAAGGGCAGUAAGCGAAUACCUUGCUGUUUUGACGUUACCGACAGAAUAAGCACCGGCUAACUCUGUUCCAGCAGCCGCGGUAAUACAGAGGGUGCAAGCGUUAAUCGGAAUUACUGGGCGUAAAGCGCGCGUAGGUGGUUCGUUAAGUUGAAUGUGAAAGCCCCGGGCUCAACCUGGGAACUGCAUCCAAAACUGGCGAGCUAGAGUAGGGCAGAGGGUGGUGGAAUUUCCUGUGUAGCGGUGAAAUGCGUAGAUAUAGGAAGGAACACCAGUGGCGAAGGCGACCACCUGGGCUCAUACUGACACUGAGGUGCGAAAGCGUGGGGAGCAAACAGG